Molecule: ribosomal RNA, 253 nt
Filed under: uncultured bacterium
Lineage: Bacteria
Description: partial 16S ribosomal RNA
Rfam family: Bacterial small subunit ribosomal RNA
Source: RNAcentral
UACGUAGGGUGCAAGCGUUGUCCGGAAUUAUUGGGCGUAAAGAGCUCGUAGGCGGCUCAUUGCGUCAACCGUGAAAACUUGUGGCUCAACUACAAGCUUGCGGUUGAUACGGGUGGGCUGGAGUUCGGUAGGGGAGACUGGAAUUCCUGGUGUAGCGGUGAAAUGCGCAGAUAUCAGGAGGAACACCGGUGGCGAAGGCGGGUCUCUGGGCCGAUACUGACGCUGAGGAGCGAAAGCGUGGGGAGCGAACAGG